RNAcentral lists this ribosomal RNA (400 nucleotides) under Hypophthalmichthys molitrix (silver carp). RNAcentral's name for it is "partial 12S ribosomal RNA". Lineage: Eukaryota; Metazoa; Chordata; Actinopteri; Cypriniformes; Xenocyprididae. The record is from RNAcentral.
CAAAGGCAUGGUCCUGACCUUAUUAUCAGCUCUUACCCGACUUACACAUGCAAGUCUCCGCAAUCCCGUGAGUAUGCCCUCAAUCCCCUGCCCGGGGACGAGGAGCGGGCAUCAGGCACAAAUUUUAGCCCAAGACGCCUGGCCAAGCCACACCCCCAAGGGAAUUCAGCAGUGAUAAACAUUAAGCCAUAAGUGAAAACUUGACUCAGUCAAGGUAAAGAGGGCCGGUAAAACUCGUGCCAGCCACCGCGGUUAAACGAGAGGCCCUAGUUGAUAAAACCACGGCGUAAAGGGUGGUUAAGGAAAGCAAACAAAUUAAAGCCAAAUGGCCCUUUGGCCGUCAUACGCUUCUAGGUGUCCGAAGCCCAAUUAUACGAAAGUAGCUUUAUUAAAGCCCACC